RNAcentral lists this ribosomal RNA (250 nucleotides) under uncultured prokaryote. RNAcentral describes it as "partial 16S ribosomal RNA". It matches the Rfam family "Bacterial small subunit ribosomal RNA", at positions 524 to 773 of the family's 1533-position model. The record is from RNAcentral.
UACGUAGGGAGCGAGCGUUAUCCGGAUUUAUUGGGUGUAAAGGGUGCGUAGGCGGGAGUUUAAGUUAGUUGUGAAAUCCCUCGGCUCAACUGAGGAACUGCAACUAAAACUGAGCUUCUUGAGUACUGGAGAGGAAGGUGGAAUUCCUAGUGUAGCGGUGAAAUGCGUAGAUAUUAGGAGGAACACCAGUGGCGAAGGCGACUUUCUGGACAGAAACUGACGUUGAGGCACGAAAGUGUGGGGAGCAAAC